AAUAUUCGACAAUGGGGGCAACCCUGAUCCAGCCAUGCCGCGUGUGUGAAGAAGGNCUNNGGAUUNUNAAGCACUUUAAGUUGNNNNNAAUGGCCUUAGGUUAAUACCCUGAAGUUUUGACGUUACCAACAGAAUAAGCACCGGCUAACUCUGUGCCAGCAGCCGCGGUAAUACAGAGGGUGCAAGCGUUAAUCGGAAUUACUGGGCGUAAAGCGCGCGUAGGUGGUUCGUUAAGUUGGAAGUGAAAGCCCCGGGCUUAACCUGGGAAUUGCUUUCAAAACUGACGAGCUAGAGUACGGUAGAGGGUAGUGGAAUUUCCUGUGUAGCGGUGAAAUGCGUAGAUAUAGGAAGGAACACCAGUGGCGAAGGCGACUACCUGGACUGAUACUGACACUGAGGUGCGAAAGCGUGGGGAGCAAACA
This 422-nucleotide ribosomal RNA is filed under the name uncultured bacterium. RNAcentral's name for it is "partial 16S ribosomal RNA". It matches the Rfam family "Bacterial small subunit ribosomal RNA", at positions 360 to 774 of the family's 1533-position model. The record is from RNAcentral.